UACGGAGGAAAAGAAACCAACAGGGAAUGCCUCAGUAACGGCGAGUGAAGCGGCAAAAGCUCAAAUUUGAAAUCCCCCGAAGGAAUUGUAAUUUGAGGGACCUAUUAAAACCCUGAGAGAGCCCAAAGUCCAUUGGAAAAUGGCGCCAUAGAAGGUGAUAGCCCUGUGUGUUACAUGACCUCUCUCAGCAUACUUUUUAGGCCCAAAGAGUCGAGUUGUUUGGGAAUGCAGCUCUAAGUGGGUGGUAAAUUCCAUCUAAAGCUAAAUAUUGGCGAGAGACCGAUAGCGAACAAGUACAGUGAUGGAAAGAUGAAAAGCACUUUGAAAAGAGAGUGAAAAAGUACGUGAAAUUGUUGAAAGGGAAGGGCAUAUUGCAAGCAGACAUGCAACCUCGAGAGUUGGCGCCAGCUCCAAUCGGGUGCGGGUCAUUCAGGGAAACAAUUUGAAAAGGUGUGGAAUGUGGCUCUUACGAGUGUUUCUCAUAGCCCCACCCAAUAUUUCCAUCCCAUCCCGAGGCCGAGCUGGUGCGAUUCUUCAAGGAUGCUGGCGUAAUGGUAUGCCCAAGUCGCCCUAGUCUUGAACGAAACCAGUUGUUCUAUAACGGUUCAAGUUAGUACAUUCCAAUUCGGUUCCAUUUGGAACCGUAAGGGAACUGUACCGACCAUGAUGCUAAAUGUCAACUACUGC
This 687-nucleotide ribosomal RNA is filed under the name uncultured Candida. RNAcentral describes it as "eukaryotic LSU rRNA". It matches the Rfam family "Eukaryotic large subunit ribosomal RNA", at positions 49 to 756 of the family's 3401-position model. Lineage: Eukaryota; Fungi; Ascomycota; Saccharomycetes; Saccharomycetales. The record is from RNAcentral.